This 309-nucleotide ribosomal RNA is filed under the name Triticum aestivum (bread wheat). Its description in RNAcentral is "partial small subunit ribosomal RNA". Lineage: Eukaryota; Viridiplantae; Streptophyta; Magnoliopsida; Poales; Poaceae. The record is from RNAcentral.
AUGUCUAUGAGGAUUUUCGAGUAUGUAAAGGAAGUCGAUUUUUAUCCCAAUGCCUCUAUUGCUUACAUCUUAUUUACAGCGCAUGUAACUGUCGCAUCGGUUGAAAUAAGUUUUUCAGAGUUAAAAGUAUUGAAUAACUAUUUGAGAUCAACAAUGACUCAAGACAUUUUAAAUGGCUUGACAACAUGAUGCAUUGAGAAUAAAUUAUCGGAUGAUAUUGCCAUCAACCCGAUCAUAAGUGACUUUGCAUCAAAGAUUCUUUUAUUAAAGGUAACAUGUACAAUUAUUUCAUCUAUACAUUGUUUUUGA